Molecule: small nuclear RNA, 194 nt
Filed under: Rhipicephalus sanguineus (brown dog tick)
Lineage: Eukaryota; Metazoa; Arthropoda; Arachnida; Ixodida; Ixodidae
Description: U2 spliceosomal RNA
Rfam family: U2 spliceosomal RNA
About the family: U2 is a small nuclear RNA (snRNA) component of the spliceosome (involved in pre-mRNA splicing). Complementary binding between U2 snRNA (in an area lying towards the 5' end but 3' to hairpin I) and the branchpoint sequence (BPS) of the intron results the bulging out of an unpaired adenosine, on the BPS, which initiates a nucleophilic attack at the intronic 5' splice site, thus starting the first of two transesterification reactions that mediate splicing.
Source: Rfam by way of RNAcentral
AGCCCUUUUUCUCCUGAAUGAAUAAACAUGAAUAAACAAACUCUGUUCUUAUCAGCUUAAUAUCUGAUACGGGUCCUAUUUGGGCCCAAGAUAUUAAACUUAUUUUUGGAACGGGGCGGAGCGCUUGGAGCUUGCUUCACCUCCGCCACGGGUUAGCCCGGUAUUGCACUCUCUCCGGGAUCGGCCUACUCACC